UGACUUCUUCUCGCGUCUCAUCUAAAAUACUUUACUCCUACAAAUCUUACAUAUUUUACUAAUGGUAUCAUAAAGACUGAAGCAACUAAUUUUUGAAAAGUAAGAGAAAAAGCUUACAUGAAGCCAAAACUUAGAGGUCUUCUGUAAUAUACUUUUUUUAUUUUAUUUGGAAAUAUCUUUUCGCAUUUCAUUACUUAAUUAACUACGCUAUGAUUAAUGAUUCCAGAAAAACAGAAGUUCUUCAAA
RNAcentral lists this unclassified non-coding RNA (246 nucleotides) under Hevea brasiliensis (rubber tree). The record is from RNAcentral. Lineage: Eukaryota; Viridiplantae; Streptophyta; Magnoliopsida; Malpighiales; Euphorbiaceae.